Molecule: ribosomal RNA, 465 nt
Filed under: Vreelandella stevensii
Lineage: Bacteria; Pseudomonadati; Pseudomonadota; Gammaproteobacteria; Oceanospirillales; Halomonadaceae
Description: partial 16S ribosomal RNA
Rfam family: Bacterial small subunit ribosomal RNA
Source: RNAcentral
CCUACGGGAGGCUUCAGUGGGGAAUAUUGGACAAUGGGCGAAAGCCUGAUCCAGCCAUGCCGCGUGUGUGAAGAAGGCCUUCGGGUUGUAAAGCACUUUCAGUGGGGAAGAAAGCCUUGGGGCUAAUACCCUCGAGGAAGGACAUCACCCACAGAAGAAGCACCGGCUAACUCCGUGCCAGCAGCCGCGGUAAUACGGAGGGUGCGAGCGUUAAUCGGAAUUACUGGGCGUAAAGCGCGCGUAGGCGGUCUGAUAAGCCGGUUGUGAAAGCCCCGGGCUCAACCUGGGAACGGCAUCCGGAACUGUCAGGCUAGAGUGCAGGAGAGGAAGGUAGAAUUCCCGGUGUAGCGGUGAAAUGCGUAGAGAUCGGGAGGAAUACCAGUGGCGAAGGCGGCCUUCUGGACUGACACUGACGCUGAGGUGCGAAAGCGUGGGUAGCAAACAGGAUUAGAUACCCCUGUAGUC